This 692-nucleotide long non-coding RNA is filed under the name Felis catus (domestic cat). Its description in RNAcentral is "lncRNA (ENSFCAG00000046202.2)". The record is from RNAcentral. Lineage: Eukaryota; Metazoa; Chordata; Mammalia; Carnivora; Felidae.
GGGCGGUGGGGGCGGGAUCGGCUUCACCUGGAUCGAUUGGUGAUGGCUGUGCCCGGCACGCUGCUCAGUGCCGUGGUUGAUUAGCGAUGUCUGCCGCGGCCCCGGAGGGGCCGUCUAAGGCUGACCGUUUACCUACCGUCUGGGGUGUAUGCUGCGUCCAGCAAAGACUCAGAGGGGUGGCCAGGAGCUGCUUCUCUACUGGUGCACGUUCACCCGGGGAGCACUGGACGGGGAGAAGCGUGGCUGGAUGGGGCUCAUCACUCUGCUGUCUGGCACCCUCUGAGGCCGGAGGCGGCUGGAGUGUCUGCCCAGCACCAGCCGGGACUGUCCACCUCUCAGGUCCCUUCCCCUCCUCUGGCCCUGGGGCCAGCCUGCCGGAAUCCCUACCAUGCCUCCCUAGGACAGACCACAUGGCCCAGCCAUCCCUCAGGACGGGGCCCCUCCCCGACCAUCAGGCUUGGCCCCUUGCUGAGCCCUCAGGGACACUGCAGCCCCCACCCCCUUCCUGGGAGUCCAAAGCCUGGUGGCACAGCUGGGGUGCUCUGCGUCCUCUGCUGCUGCAAGUGGGACCAGCCAGGCAGGGGCAUCCAGGAGGGCUUCCUGGAAGAGGAAGCUCCGGGCCCUUCCCUCCCCGUCCUCACCUGGCCCACCUGGCUCCCCCCCCCCCCACUCCUGGCUGGGCCUCUCCUUGA